Long non-coding RNA from Gallus gallus (chicken), 3082 nucleotides. RefSeq lists it as uncharacterized. The transcript has 4 exons. The record is from RefSeq and is a predicted model, not a curated record. Lineage: Eukaryota; Metazoa; Chordata; Aves; Galliformes; Phasianidae.
CCAUCUCCAGCUCCCAAAAUGGUGAGUUUUUACAACUAAGCUUGUCUUAAAUCUUUCUAGAGAUCAAUUGGAAACAGGGUAGAUACUCCCUUUUGUCUGCAACCUAUGCUAGAAACAGGAACACGCUUCUGAAGGUCACGUCCUCUGUACAGUGACAUAUUUCAGCAUAGUAGAAGAAAAAUGGAGAGUCUAUUUUUCAGAACUAUGUAUAAUACACAAAAUACAAGCAAGUCUUCCUUUUAAACAAAUGAAAUAAUUGUGUGUAUGAAAUAACGGGAUUGUGAUGUGUGAUUGCCCAGAAGAAAUCCUGAAUCUGCACCUUUGAUAACCUGAAUUUGUACCUGCGACAUACAUUAAAGUUAUGAUUUUUUUCAUGUGUAGUAUAAACUGCUCUGCUGUGUAAUAUUUUCAGAUACACUGUUUCAUCUCGUUAGAACUAAAAACACCCUUGUUGACAUCCCUGUGCAGUUAGCAUUUUGGCAUUACAUGAUGAUGUAAUGGCAAAGUCUUUACAAUCUCCAGCGUUAGGUCCCUGAUUUAAAUUAGUCAUUGUCAAAUAAAGCAAAAUGCUGACCCACCAGAAUGUCCUAAACCAGAAUUACUUGUCUAGAUUGCUGAAAUCACUGGACUUCAAGUGGCGAUUGCAUGAUCUGUAUUUCCCUUAAACUGUGAAAUUAGAUUCCUUUUAUGGACCCAUCAUGGUAGUAUUGAGCCAUUAGAUACAUCAUACUACACUUGUCAGCCAGCCUUCCCUGUUCAUCGGGACUGUAAAGCAUAUUAAGCAGACAAUAAUAGUACCCUUCAGGACAAUUAGGUUGUCACGUUUUGCAGUCUAAUACAGUUCUUUGCUUCUAUAUCCGACAGGCAGUAGAGAGCUUCUUCAGAACCCAGGUCCUGUAUGUAACACCUGCAGAGAGAAUGGUGCCAGAGACAUUUCUUCCUCCUCUGUUUUAGAGUUUCCCUCCUUGAUUCUCCCAGUGUGGUACCUAUGAAAGUCAGUACAGAUGCCUGGUCUUCAGCCAUCCACACUCCAUCCUGCAGUGCCAGUUCCUGGAAAAGGCAGAAAUGUGCUGGCAGGCGGCAGAGUCACAACACACAGUGAAAAGAGAGUUGUUCAAACACUGUCUAAUGGACUUAAUCCACACUUCCUGCCCUUUCAGGAUAACAACUUAUUUUCAAAAGCAGUGCAAACUAAUACACAACUCCUAGGAAGAGUUAGAAAAAGUUAAAACAUCCAUCAGACUGGAACUGGUGUCAAAUAAAAGUCUCUCAAGAGGCUAGAAAGGUAAAAGACACAUUUCUUUUGUGAGUGUUUCAAUCUACCCAGUGACCUGCAGCCUGGCCAUGGCCAGGAAUGAAAAUGCAGUCUGCCCAGAGCAGUCCCUACUCUCCUUGCCUCAGUGGACCAGCUUCCUCACUACUUGUGUCAGGGCCUGGGUCGUUCUGGAGCUGUUUUUGUGGCAUGCAAAGAAAACAACAAUUUGGGCCUGUAGGAUGUUAAAACUCAUAUCUGGUUGUGUAUCUUCUUUAAGCCCAGUAAGCGUUUUAAUAGGCAAUUUCAGGUGUAGCAUCCUUACGUUCACCUUUUCCUGUGGCUGUUCCCUUUUCUUGGCUGUAUUUGUAAAGAACAAGGAAUAAUCCCUAACCCUCCUGAAAUUUGCUACUUCUCUUGCUUCUCAGAAAAGUCCCUCCAAGGGUGGGGGAUGGAUAUUACUUUGUCACUGGGUCUAGGCCACCUCCUGCUGCGUCAGAAAUGCCACGGCCAUGGAGCAAAGUCAUGACGUGUGUUGAUCAACUUCGUACCUGCAAGUUACAUGCCAGGUGAGUGAUGUUCAUCUGGACCACUCUAACUUUUUUUCCUUUUCUGUCCUCUCAGGUGGCAUUAAGCCAGCAGAAGGGCAUUGAUGUGGCAUAACUCCUUGUGGUAUGUUUGGCUCCCUUGACAGAAGUACAGCUGCGUGUCAAUGACUAGCUUGGAUCCCAUCUGCAGGGCUUGUGAACUGCAACAGCAUGUUCUUCUGUUAGCGAUCAUAGCUUUGUCAUUCGACUUUUUGGCAAAAUACUGCAUCUUCAGCCAGGAGAAGUUGGCGAAGUACAAAAGGGCUUUUGAAGCGCCCCAGGGGUGCCCUGUACAUCACUGUACAGCUUCUCUGGAUGUUGCAUAAAAGGGACCUUGGAUCUGGCCCUCUCUCUGUCUGUGCCAUACAAUCUCCCCUCUGAGCUGCUCAGGCAGGUUUUCAAAACCAUGAUUUUUUUGCAGGAGGUUCUGAGUUAUGCUGUCGUCUACCUGGGAGUGCUUAAGUUUCUUCCUCUGCAAGAUGAUGUGGCCAAGCCCAUUAGAUUUGGUGGAGACCCUGAAGAUUUUGUUGAAGGGGCAGAAGAGGACACUUUUUGAAGAUGGAGGAAGCUUUCUUAGGCUAUAGGAAGAGAAGGAGCCUUAGACAGAGAUGUCAGAGGAUGCACAAAAGACCUUUCUACUUGUCUACUAUGAGACACAGUUGAGAUGACAAAAAAAAGUAAAGGAAUAGGUAAAAGUAUAGUUUGUGAAUGACUUUGAAGUAAAAACAGUUGGUUUUGGUAAAAGAAGCUGAAAAACUUAUCAAUUUUCACUUAUACAAAUCUAUUUUCUCCAUCUGUGAGUCUUCUCCAGAUAAAGACUCUUAGGCUCUAUAGUGCCUAAAUAUAACUGACACAUUAUCUCAUUGUGAAACUUAAUGAACAUUUGAGUCUGGACAUAAAGACCGGUGAGGUCAGGGUAUGCGUUAGCCCUGUAUAACAUCAAGUUAAAGACUGUGAUGGCAACUUCCUCUUUUCUUUCAGCAUUUCUUAAUAGUCACAUGAUUUUUUUAUUGUCAGUCAUAUUUCUAAUUCAGCUUUGUUGUGUUACGUAUCCAGAAAUAACAAAUUGUUGAAGAAAAUGAUGUGGAGCCAAAAAAAAUAUAUAUAUAUGCUAAACUACUGUGCUUCUUUGCUUAGUGCAGGCAAAGAUUAAGAGUUCCCAAGGCUUUCCCUCAGUUUGAAAAUGGAAGCAGAGAUUAACCAUACCUUGUCAAAGCUGCGCUUCCAAGACACUGGAGUUCUG